Molecule: ribosomal RNA, 486 nt
Filed under: Bacillus sp. RHF115
Lineage: Bacteria; Bacillati; Bacillota; Bacilli; Caryophanales; Bacillaceae
Description: bacterial SSU rRNA
Rfam family: Bacterial small subunit ribosomal RNA
Source: RNAcentral
AGAGUUUGAUCCUGGCUCAGGACGAACGCUGGCGGCGUGCCUAAUACAUGCAAGUCGAGCGGACUUUUAAAAGCUUGCUUUUAAAAGUUAGCGGCGGACGGGUGAGUAACACGUGGGUAACCUGCCUGUAAGACUGGGAUAACUCCGGGAAACCGGGGCUAAUACCGGAUAACUUCUUUCCUCGCAUGAGGAAAGAUUGAAAGAUGGCUUCGGCUAUCACUUACAGAUGGACCCGCGGCGCAUUAGCUAGUUGGUGAGGUAACGGCUCACCAAGGCGACGAUGCGUAGCCGACCUGAGAGGGUGAUCGGCCACACUGGGACUGAGACACGGCCCAGACUCCUACGGGAGGCAGCAGUAGGGAAUCUUCCGCAAUGGACGAAAGUCUGACGGAGCAACGCCGCGUGAGUGAUGAAGGUUUUCGGAUCGUAAAACUCUGUUGUUAGGGAAGAACAAGUAUCGUUCGAAUAGGGCGGUACCUGACGGUA